GCGUUCAUGGUGAUGGUGUUCACCGUGAUGUCGACGUGGCAGUAGUGCAGGCCGUACGACGAGGUCACGGUGCGAAUCUGCGCAAUCGCA
Molecule: transfer RNA, 90 nt
Filed under: Corynebacterium glaucum
Lineage: Bacteria; Bacillati; Actinomycetota; Actinomycetes; Mycobacteriales; Corynebacteriaceae
Description: tRNA-Asp
Source: RNAcentral